This 460-nucleotide ribosomal RNA is filed under the name uncultured bacterium. Its description in RNAcentral is "partial 16S ribosomal RNA". It matches the Rfam family "Bacterial small subunit ribosomal RNA", at positions 338 to 795 of the family's 1533-position model. The record is from RNAcentral.
CCUACGGGUGGCAGCAGUGAGGAAUAUUGGUCAAUGGACGAGAGUCUGAACCAGCCAAGUCGCGUGAAGGAUGACUGCCCUAUGGGUUGUAAACUUCUUUUAUCUGGGAAUAAAAUGUUCCACGUGUGGGGUUUUGUAUGUACCAUAUGAAUAAGGAUCGGCUAACUCCGUGCCAGCAGCCGCGGUAAUACGGAGGAUCCGAGCGUUAUCCGGAUUUAUUGGGUUUAAAGGGAGCGUAGGUGGAUUGUUAAGUCAGUUGUGAAAGUUUGCGGCUCAACCGUGAAAUUGCAGUUGAAACUGGCAGUCUUGAGUAGAGUAGAGGUGGGCGGAAUGCGUGGUGUAGCGGUGAAAUGCAUAGAUAUCACGAAGAACUCCGAUUGCGAAGGCAGCUCACUGGACUGCAACUGACACUGAGGCUCGAAAGUGUGGGUAUCGAACAGGAUUAGAUACCCCUGUAGUC